This 254-nucleotide ribosomal RNA is filed under the name uncultured bacterium. RNAcentral's name for it is "partial 16S ribosomal RNA". It matches the Rfam family "Bacterial small subunit ribosomal RNA", at positions 524 to 777 of the family's 1533-position model. The record is from RNAcentral.
UACAGAGGGUGCGAGCGUUAAUCGGAAUUACUGGGCGUAAAGCGUGCGUAGACGGUUUUGUAAGUCGGAUGUGAAAUCCCCGGGCUCAACCUGGGAAUUGCAUUCGAGACUGCAAGGCUUGGGUGCGGAAGAGGGAAGCGGAAUUUCCGGUGUAGCGGUGAAAUGCGUAGAUAUCGGAAGGAACAUCAGUGGCGAAAGCGGCUUCCUGGUCCAGCACCGACGUUCAGGCACGAAAGCGUGGGGAGCAAACAGGG